RNAcentral lists this ribosomal RNA (431 nucleotides) under uncultured bacterium. Its description in RNAcentral is "partial 16S ribosomal RNA". It matches the Rfam family "Bacterial small subunit ribosomal RNA", at positions 29 to 507 of the family's 1533-position model. The record is from RNAcentral.
AACGAACGCUGGCGGCAGGCUUAACACAUGCAAGUCGAGCGCCCCGCCAGGGGAGCGGCAGACGGGUGAGUAACGCGUGGGAACGUACCUUUUGGUUCGGAACAACUCCGGGAAACUGGAGCUAAUACCGGAUAAGCCCUAACGGGGAAAGAUUUAUCGCCGAAAGAUCGGCCCGCGUCUGAUUAGCUAGUUGGUGAGGUAACGGCUCACCAAGGCGACGAUCAGUAGCUAGUCUGAGAGGAUGAUCAGCCACACUGGGACUGAGACACGGCCCAGACUCCUACGGGAGGCAGCAGUGGGGAAUAUUGGACAAUGGGCGCAAGCCUGAUCCAGCCAUGCCGCGUGAGUGAUGAAGGCCUUAGGGUUGUAAAGCUCUUUUGUCCGGGAAGAUAAUGACUGUACCGGAAGAAUAAGCCCCGGCUAACUUCGUG